This 936-nucleotide ribosomal RNA is filed under the name Triticum aestivum (bread wheat). RNAcentral's name for it is "partial small subunit ribosomal RNA". Lineage: Eukaryota; Viridiplantae; Streptophyta; Magnoliopsida; Poales; Poaceae. The record is from RNAcentral.
AUGUCCGGGGUCGUCGUGAGGAACUUGACGUCCACGGGGUCUUCGAGGGUCGAUGGUACUUGGCGUGGAGGUAACCAUCGGGUUGCCGUUUGUUGGAAAACAAGCUGCACCAGGGAAGAUCAAAGCAGCGGCGGCAGCAACAGAGUUGGCCGAAAGGGACGGCUCAGGCAGGAGCUCCAUAGCACAGCGAUGGUGCCGACGGAGAUGCAACAGGGGAUGGGCGCGGAGGAGGCAAGAAGGCGCGGGAGAGGAGGCGGAGCUCCUGCAGGGUGCAGCCGCGGCGAGGGGGGGGAGGGAGGUCGAGGCCGGUGGCGCUGCAACAUGACGGCACGGCGGCCGAACGUCACGGCGGACGAAGCAGGGAGGCAGAGGAGCGGGACUCCGGCGACGAGGAGCAGUGGCGGAGCUUCGGGCUCGGCCGGCAGCAAGGUCAAAGGGCGCCGCGGGAGGCAAUGGUUGCGGGCGUCCUCCUCUGCUCGAAGAAGAGGCCGAACCGGGCGGCAGCCAUCCAUGGUGAUGUCGUGGGGCUCCUCGAGCAGGAAGAAGAAGCAGGGCGCGGCGGUGGACCUGGAGGUCGCCGUCGAGGCGGCUGGCCGCGCGAGAAGACGAGGCCGAGCGCUCCUGCUCGGGCCUCGGGAAGAGAGGGGGUGGCGGCUGUGCGGGUGGCGGGGCGGCGAUGCAACAGGGCGGCAGCUCGGGAGAAGACGAGAGGGAGAGGAUGAGGGGAUCGGGAGGAGUUGGGGAUCGGGCGCUGGGGCUCUCCUCUCCUGGCGGCGCUCGAACGGGAGACGAGGGAGAGAUCAGGGGAUGGGGAUCGCUCAGGCUAGGGUUAGGAGGGACUGGUGGGGGCGGCUGGGCCUUAGAGGCCGGCGGCUGGGCUCUCCUCUCUCUCUCUUUCUCUCAAAAGAAAAGAAACAAAAUAGAGAUAAGAAAUAA